This is a long non-coding RNA of Helianthus annuus (common sunflower), 1367 nucleotides long. RefSeq lists it as uncharacterized. The transcript is spliced from 12 exons. NCBI's taxonomy places the organism in Eukaryota, Viridiplantae, Streptophyta, Magnoliopsida, Asterales, Asteraceae. The record is from RefSeq and is a predicted model, not a curated record.
GAUGGUUCCCGGCUAGCCCUAUGAAUUGAAGAUUUGGAUUAAACCCUAAACGAAACACGGCAAUUUAUGUAAAGCCUAGCGAUUGAUUUCUGUCAUUCUAAUUAGGUUACCACAUCACGAAAUCAUUAUCAGCCUCCUCUCUUUCUAACUGCGUUUGAUUCCUUUCAAAACCCUAGCUGUGUUCGAUUCCUCUCUGCUAUUCAUCGACCCAGAUCUGGAAUUUUAAUUCACAUCCAUCAGUUUUUUGCUUAAUUCGCAUAUAUAGGUGGCAAAGGAAACUAGGGUUCCGGUGAAUAUCAAAGCCGAGUAAGGUCAUUACAGCUUGAAUUGUGGCAUAUUAUUGGUCCGUGUGGGCUUUCCUGGUGACAUCUUGCGCUCCAAACCUGUUGGUCUGCAGUACCAGAGUACAUGAAAACUGAAUGGCGUAUGGUUGCUCUCUAUAUUGUGGUUUUGUUCGUGUCUUGGUAGCAUGCUGCUGUGCUGCUGCAUUUCAUAUGAUAGGAGUCCUAGCAUGAGCCGAAAUUGAAGGAGAUUGCUAAUUUGUUAGCCUGCAAAUGGUAUCUAAAAAUGCUUUUUUGUUUACCGACGGUCGCCUCGAGUACAUGGAACUGGAAAAUGCUUUGUUAUCCUCUCGGUUCUCCCUCAGACUUUCAGCUACUGUCGAGAAAGGUUUCAUUAGAGCAGAGACUAUGGCAUAUAACGAUUUUGUUGCUGAUGGUUCAUCGUCAGCUGCAAGGGAGAAAGGACUUAUUCAGAAUAGGCUUUAAAUGGGUCGAAUGAGUCAUACUUGUUCAUAUUAUUGACACACAUGUGGAUCAUCUUGAGGAUGUUGUUACUAAACUUGAGACUGAGCUUGAUUCUGUAGAAGUUGAUUUGGAUAAAGGUGGCUUUUCUUUAAAGAGACAAUUGUUGGAUGACAGAAGAUUUCCAAAAAUGCAUCUAGAAUUGCAACGCCUUCUGCAGGUGAUUGCACACGGGGAACAAGUGUUCCCGGGGGUGAAAGAAAAGUGUUCCGUAAAAGAUUGGUUUGGAAAUGAAGACAUCAUCACUUGAAGAGUUGAUUGGUCGACUCAGACGACUAAAGGAGAAUGUUGGAUUCAUAAGCAAUCGUGUGACAGCUGUCCAAGCGGGUCUCGACAGCUGGCAGGCUGAACAAAUCAACAGAAAACUAUACUGCCUGUCUUUCCUCUCCAUCAUAUUCCUUCCUCUAUCCAUCAUCACAGGAGAGGGAGAAGAAUCACUUAAAAUGGUCGGCGGGACCUUGAUCAAGUUGCUGGGCGAAUUGUUGUUGCUGUUUGAUUCCAGUUAGGUGAUCCUACGCGGCAAAAAAAUGGGGCUAACGUUCAUGAAACUCUUUAGUCGGCCGU